GGGGGUGUUUUGGUUUUGACAGCGCCGGUGUCGGACGGUAAGCACGUCGGGCGUGGGAGCCUUGCCCGUUAAUCUCAGACUCCGACAAAUCAGUUGCCACAAACAACUACGCACUCGCUGCUUAAUCAGGCUUAGCCGAUUAACUUAAUCCGAGGCGCCAAGGCUGCGCUUCCGACGAGUAUCCCUCGGACUUUCCGCCUCUUAAAGGCCGAUCAAGGGGUAUCAUCCAUUUGAGGCCGCUCCGGUGGACGUAUCUAAAGCCGGCUAAGACAUAGAUGCUAAGGGUUAAGUGGCCCGCCUUCCGGCAGCCUUUCCCCGACAAUCAAAGGAAGGAUAAGCGUGUAGAAAGCCGCCUGGUGCGACGUUUGGACAGCGGUUCGAGUCCGCUCACCUCCAC
This 397-nucleotide transfer-messenger RNA is filed under the name bovine gut metagenome. It matches the Rfam family "transfer-messenger RNA". From Rfam's summary of the family: Bacterial tmRNA, also known as 10Sa RNA or SsrA, is named for its dual tRNA and mRNA-like properties. The record is from RNAcentral.